GGAGCUGUAGUUCAAUUGGUAGAAUAACGGAUUCCAAUUAUCCGUCGGUCGCAGGUUCGAUUCCUGUCAGCUUCA
This 75-nucleotide transfer RNA is filed under the name Cryptococcus deneoformans B-3501A. RNAcentral describes it as "tRNA-Trp". It matches the Rfam family "tRNA". From Rfam's summary of the family: Transfer RNA (tRNA) molecules are approximately 80 nucleotides in length. Their secondary structure includes four short double-helical elements and three loops (D, anti-codon, and T loops). Lineage: Eukaryota; Fungi; Basidiomycota; Tremellomycetes; Tremellales; Cryptococcaceae. The record is from RNAcentral.